CCCGGACAUGUCGACCACGGUGAGCUUGCACUUGUUCAGGGUGAAGCGCUCGACGUUGAAGCCGACGGUGGGGGCGACGAACUCGGGCGGGUCGCGGUCCUUCUCCGGCUUGAGGUUAUUCACCAGUGUGGUCUUACCACCGUUGGCCAAUCCCAUGACCAGCAGGCUCCUCUGCAAUGGAUGAACGUGGGGGAAAGGCCCGUGGGUCAACGGGGAUGGUUCGAAAAGAUUGGGGAGAAGGCACCGCGGGUCUCGAGGCGGGGACGGGGGCGGGUAAGGGUAGAUCCGAGGACGAACCUUCUUCUUGGCCAGGCCAAGGGCCACCAAAAGCCUGCCGAAGAAGCCCAUGGCCUCACUCGGGUCACCCACCGGCGUUCUCCCGGC
This 384-nucleotide long non-coding RNA is filed under the name Micromonas commoda. RNAcentral describes it as "long non-coding RNA (MCOM_LNC000130)". The record is from RNAcentral. Lineage: Eukaryota; Viridiplantae; Chlorophyta; Mamiellophyceae; Mamiellales; Mamiellaceae.